CUGUGUGAAUCUGUAUGUUUCAAUAGUUUUACGAAGAAAAUCUUAAUUUUAUUUAGGGUUUUCAAAUUGAGAUUUGAAUUUUUGUGUUCUUCUUCUUCCGAUGAUACGUUUGAACUUGUUUUGUUGUUUGAAUAGAACAUGGAUAGCAGAAUCGGAGUUACAAAUAAUGAAUUUCAGGAAACUUCGUUUACAUAUAACUUUGGCUUAAAGAGGAAGAUGAUCUCGUGACUUUACUUUUUGGUAAGCAAUUUUUGAAUCUUUGAUAUUCCUAUUUAUUCUUUGAUAAAAGAACCCUGUGUAAAGAGAGCUUUGAUUGUUGGAGUUGGUCUCUUUGUUGUGUUUCCCUUUUUCACCUGAAUGGUAAUGUAACAGUGUCAAAGUGCGAUUGCAGGUCUCUGAUGCUUUGUAGAACUCAAUUUUGAAACCGCCUCCUUCAUACGUACAGCCAGCCUUCUCUAGAAGACCGUAAGAUAUUAUGUUCCUGCUAAUAUUCGGCAUGUGUCUCACAUCAGUUAAAAUCACUUCAACACCAUCCACAUUAGUAACUCGAAUCUUUCCAAUUCCUUUAACUUCGCUCUGUGUGUUGUUCGCCAUAAAAACUUUCCACCUUCUAGUUCCUUGAAGUCAAAGAGAACAUUCCUUUGAGGAGUGAUAUGAAACGAGCAGCCAUAGUCUAGAACCCACUCCUACUUAGUGUCCUGAACACUUACAGUCAGUACAAGCGGCUGCUUUGGUUAAGAAGCUAUAUUCAUUAAGCUUGAAGACUCAUUCUUCCUUCCCUGAUUAUUCCAAUUCUGUGGGCAUUCUCUCUUCCAAUGACCAUCCUUUCCGCAAAUAAAACACCCUGUUUUGUUGGUAUUUCGGUUUGAUCUUGGUCUAGACUUUGAUCUUCCAUCCCGUGACUUUGAUCUGCUUUUUCCAUACUUUCCAUUUCCUUUAUUUCCCUUCUCCUUCUGUCUACGUUGAGAUUCCACAUACAAGCCUUUUAAGUUCGAUCUAGACUUUCCAAAGAGACCCCUUUGUUUUGUGUUGUUCAAAAUCUUUAAAAUUCAAAUUGUAGUGGGAUUCUAAGAUUUUCAGUUAUAAUAUUACUAGAUACUAGUUGGUAUAAAUAAAUUACACAUUUAUAUUUUAUCGCAUAAAAACAUGAAAACACCUAUGUAUAUAUAAAAUUAUAUACCAAAAUAUAUAGAGAUUUAUCUCAUUUUUUUUAAACAUGUAUAAUGUAAAAUAUUGUUUUUGGAUAACACAAUGUAAACUAGUUUUAUAAAAUGAUAAUUAUCAAAUCAAUAAAAUUCAUUCUUAAUUUGUGGUUAUGUAUAUAUUAAAAACCGAAUUAUUCAUUAUAUUUAAUAAAGACCUUAUAGCACAAUAUAAAUUAUUUUUUGAUAAUGAUAAUUAUCAAAUUAAUGAAAUUCAUUUUUAAUUUGUGGUUAAUCAUAUAUUAACAAAUCAAAUUAUUCAUUAAGAGUAAUAAAAAUUUUAGCCGCUCUAACUUUUAAUGUUAGAACUAAUAAUCAUUUUGCAAAUAAUAAUAUAGAAUAAAAUUAUUAAAUAGAAGGUUUAAUUAUUAUAAAUAGCUAUAAACUUGUAUCAUGGUAAAAUAAAAAUUGUCUUCUUAUUUGAUUGCAGGUUAUCCAAGUAGGGAAGGGCUUGGAUUUGAUCCAUCCUAACACAAACUUAAUCUGCUAAUUCUGUAAUAAUAAUAAUACAACAAGAUUUGUUCUACUAAUCUUUUUACAGAGUGAAAUUUUUUAUUCUUUUGAAUCAAACAAAAGACACCAGAAGAAUUAGCCUUAUCUCCAAAGACUCUAAUUACUCAGUUCCGUUCGUUCACCAUUUGUUUUGACAAUAUACAGAAGUAAGAUCAUCUCUCUGGCUCGAUUUUCAUCUGAACCGUAGAUUCAGAACCUGACACAUACAACCAAAUAACAAUGUAAUUAGAUAUCACACAACAAAACUUCACACUGUUUAUAUUCUGCAAUGUAAAUUUCUGUUUAUAUUUUUGCUUACAGUUGAUGCUCUGUUGCGGACAAUCACUGAAACCCAUAUGAACAAUACUCUGCAGAUCGUUUUCCCAGAAAGCUGGCGCCUAAGAAAACACACAAAAGUAAGCUUUUCAGAGGAAGCAAUACAGUGAGACUGUAUACAAUAUAAGCGGACAUUAAAGUACCUCAGCUUGAACAAAUCCUUCACUAAGAAUGUUCUUGCCAACAGCUAAAUACUCUGAAGGAAAUCUUGACUCUGAACAAGAUAAUGAUUCUCCCAGCUGCAACAUCUAAGACAUACAUAAUCUACUCGUCAGAUACAAUUACAGAACAUUCUCCCAGUCUUUGUUAUGAAUGAAUCAACAUAAAGCAGAAGAAUACCUCUGCAGAUAACAUAGCAUUAGCAGCAUUGAACUCCGUUCUUGGAUUUAUAGUUGCUAACUUCAUAGACAAGAACUGGAGAAGUAAACAAGAGAUUCAGAUUCAGUUAUAAUAAACACACAGCUCCAUGUUUAAGAAACAUAUAAAGCGACAGUAUACCUGGACUUGUCUUUGCAAUGACUGCACAUAAUUGAUAAUCUCAUCAAGCAUGACAGCUUUUCCAGUAAUCCGGUUGCAACCAGGGACCAAAUCUUGAAGCAACUUCAUUCUCGCACUNNNNNNNNNNNNNNNNNNNNNNNNNNNNNNNNNNNNNNNNNNNNNNNNNNNNNNNNNNNNNNNNNNNNNNNNNNNNNNNNNNNNNNNNNNNNNNNNNNNNNNNNNNNNNNNNNNNNNNNNNNNNNNNNNNGAAGCCCUAGAAAAUCGGCGACCGACUCGAACAUGACACCACACGUUGAACAGAUAGCAUGGUAGGGACACGCGCCCACUAACGAAGCCGCCACCUAACUUCAGCCAGAAAGUCAUCGACGGAGCUCCAACCGGCUGUUCCACCGGAAACACACCGGAAACAGGAACCCGAAGUUAGAGAUCUAUCGAAGACUAUGGAUAAUUGCUUUCCACCACCGACAUGGUCUACGCCGGAGGAUCAAAGAGAUACACCGGAAGCCAAGAGGCUGAGGAAGCCCGCUAAAGACAGUAGAACACAGUCGAUAACCAUACAACUUGGCUCUUCGCUUUAUAGACGAUUCAUUUGCAUGCGUUCCAAAACAGGAAACAGAGAUGAAUCGAAGAAGCUUGAAGGAAAGAUCAGACGAAAGCCAGAAUAAACCAGAGAGAAGCCGCACGACGCCACCGGAGAAGACACCGUCAUCAACGUCGCCGGAACCAGAAGCCAAUGAAUCAUUUAGAAGAAAGUGAUUCAUUGGAGCCAAAAGCCGACGGUUUCGUCAGAGAAGAACGACCACCGUCGAACCCAAAAGCCGGCCAGUCGAUGUUGAAGAAACCAUCGCUGCCGGAACCGACUCCUAUAGGAGCCAACACGCCGGAAACCACCGGCGAUCUAUAUCCUCUCUCUCUGAAAGAUUUUUUAGAGAGAAGAGAGAGAGUUUUUUAUGAUUGUGUUUUUUCCAAUGUGUGAUUUUCAUUCACUCCUCGUUAGCCUUUUAUGAAAAUAUUGUAAUACUGUGAAAUUAUAUCUAAAACUCGUGACACCGGUUUAUAGGUUAGAUGUAUUUUAUCUUAUCCAGCGACAUAAACAGGAUAUCUUGACAUGAUGAGAUAAGAAAAUGUACUGGUCCUUGUAAAUUUGGACCGCAUGUCGGCCAAAAAAUCGUUUUGACUGAUAUAUUAAGCUCAACUUUUUUUGUACCCGCAAAUUUAAAACGCUCAAAUAUUUGUUAUAACGCCAUCAAAACAGUGAUCAUUAUUCAAAAUUUAACUUAUAUGUGAUAUUUCCACUCGACUCAAUUAAAAUAGAAAUAAGCCAAGCUAAAAAAACAAAUGGUGACAUCAGAAGAAGGAAAAUCAAAAUGAUGAAUAAAGGGUGGUCAUGAUCCUAUGAGUCCCAUUAAUAUUUAUAUAUAUACACAGUGGUCAUGCACUCUUGAUAUUUGUUGCUUCUACAGUUUACUAUUUAUUUUUCACAUACAGCAAGAGUAAAAUUUUAAACGUGUCAAAAUAAAUCGUUGAGGUAGCACUCAGCAGAUCUAAUAAGUGGAUUGCCUCGAAUCAUAUUAACCCUGGGUUACUCUCGAGUACUGACAAGUAGAUAACGCCAAAGAAAAUGAUGUAAAAGGCCAAUAAUGGACUGUAAUAAAGGUGUGGUUCAGUACUCAUCGUGAAGGCGUAUCUAAUAUCUUCUUUCCCCAGCUACACGACUAAUUUACUCAAGUGCACCGUAUUUUUCUUGUACACGUAAACUAUUUAUAAGUCUACAUAGUUGUACAAUUGUAUAGUAUUUUAUACACUGUGCGUAGGUAAAUACGUAUGGCUCGUGUGGUGGUCCCCGCAGAAACCAAAGGUAGAGCCGUGUGGAGGGACCUCCCCCAAGUAAAACGAUAACCACACGGUAUCAGAUCCCUUGUCACUUUCUUGAAUUUAGUGGCGCCCUUUAACUCUAAAGGAACCUCCCCUAAAUAGAUACAGAACUAAUAUUCAUUUGUUUUUAAUAAAAAGUUGAUUUAAUCUUUUUGAUUGUGUUUCAAAAAAAAAAAAAAAAUCUUUUUGAUUAUUGACUAGGCUUCGAAACGCGUAAUGACUUCUUCUUCUAGUACAGCCAAACAAGUAUGGUGUCUAUGUAUUUGCUGCGUAUAAGAUCGUAAAGCCCGUCUUUGGGUCAAGUCGAUGGAACCUAUACUUUAAGUGAAUAUUUUCUUUAAACUUUUCUUGACAGAAUUUCAGAUUUGAAGAUUCAAAUUAUCAUGUUUAUAAUAUUUCCAUUUUAACGAAGCGGCCAUUCUUUCUUUAGCCUUUGAAAUUUCGGAACCAAUACAAACCAUGACCCAUGAUGUCAUUAUACUUUUACCAAAAAAAUGAUGUCAUUAUACUGAAAAAUAGCUAAAGCUUUUAAUAGUGAUAUUAAACUUAGUUGUUGGCUGCUGAUCCAUAAGAAAUUGUUGGCAUAUGAUUUGCUUAAAGAAAAACCAGUGAAUAAUAUACGAAUUCGUUCAUUUUAAUUCAUCUGUACUUAACACUAUUAUAUAGAAAGGUAAGGGUGGACGAGACUGAUGCUGGUUAAAUAACAUAAUGAUAUAUAAUUUUUUUGCAAUUUUUUAAAUAGAAGUUUUAGUUUUUAUCCAUUUCUUAUACUUUUUUUUCGUCAACACAAUUCUAUUGAUUUAUACAAGGAGUUCAUGAUCUUUUUAUUUUUGAACAGAGGAGGAGUUCAUGAUCUAAACUCUGGUUUUUGACUAUAUACAAGUUGAAUGAAUGUAUGUAUCAAAAUCAGAUAAGCUACAUCCACUUUUUAAAACAACUAGUUGAUGUAAUUUAUAGCCACCUUUUAAUACUAGUUUUUGAGCUAGCUGUAUUUUAUACUAAGUUCCUUGCAUUUGAAUUUAGAAUGGGCUUUUGCAUUAAAACUAUACUCGAUUUGUAUUCAUAAACUUCAAAAAAAGUUUUAAUAGCUAUGACUUUUGAGUCUACGACAGCUCGAACAUAGAAAAUUAAAAAACUAUGAAAUGUACCUAUCCAAUUUAAUUUAUUUUUCAAGAUUCAUAUAUGUAUAUAUUUACAUAUUUAAUUGUAUUACAUUGUCUAUACUCAUUAAAACUUUACGCAAAUGCGCAUGGACGAGCAUGUCUCUCCGCAUGGCGUAAGAUUUAAGUUUAAAACUUCUAUAAAAUAACAGACUAAUAACAAAAUUAUCGGCUAAGCAUCACUUAAAUUUAAUACACGUUAUGGAGACUACCACGUCACAUUUGAGCACCUUCCAGGCUGUCAAAGACUCCUAUCACCCAUUCAAAUCAUUCCACGUGGCACUUUCGGACAGUGACACCUAUGCUACAACAGCUGUCUCACUCGUCUACAUUGGUAUAAAUACCUCUUGUAUCACACUUCAUUCUAUAAACCUCAAACAAAACCUCUGUUCUAACUCUUACAAUAACCAACUUCUCAAAUGGCUUAUAAUUACCGUUUUGCCUUUUUCCUCACCGUCCUCACCGCCCUCGCCGGGAUCUCCUCCGCCGCGUUGGUCAAGGAGCAGCCGCUUGUUCUGAAAUACCACAACGGCGCACUCUUGAAAGGAAACAUCAACGUCAAUCUCGUUUGGUAUGGGAAGUUCACACCCACCCAACGGUCAGUGAUCGUCGACUUCAUCCGCUCGCUCAACUCCAAAGAAGCCACAACCUCCGCCGCUCCCUCCGUCGCGUCGUGGUGGAAGACGACGGAGAAAUACAAAGGCGGAGCUUCGACUCUCGUCGUCGGGAAACAGCUCCUCCUCGAGAACUACCCCCUCGGAAAAUCUCUCAAGAAUCCCAACCUCCGUGCUUUAUCCACCAAACUUAACGGCGGUCUCCGUUCUAUAACCGUCGUUUUAACGGCGAAAGACGUUUCCGUCGAGGGCUUCUGUAUGAACCGGUGCGGGUCCCACGGAUCGUCCGUCUCGACUUCGCGCCGCGCGGCUAACGGCGAGGCUUACGUCUGGGUCGGAAACGCCGAGACGAUGUGCCCGGGGUACUGCGCGUGGCCAUUUCACCAGCCCAUUUACGGCCCACAAGGGCCGCCGUUAGUUUCCCCUAACGGUGACGUUGGAGUCGACGGGAUGAUUAUAAACCUGGCUACGCUGCUAGCUAACACCGUCACGAAUCCGUUUAAGAACGGGUAUUACCAGGGCCCACCAACUGCUCCACUUGAAGCUGUCUCCGCUUGUACCGGCAUGUUCGGGUCUGGUUCUUACCCGGGUUACGCGGGUCUAGUGCUGGUUGACAAAACUACCGGGUCUAGCUACAACGCUCGUGGACUCGCCGGGAGGAAAUAUCUCUUGCCGGCGAUGUGGGAUCCACAGACCUCGACUUGCAAGACUCUGGUUUGAUCCAAGGGAUGUGAGUAUGACACGUGUCAUGUUCUGGAAGGAAUGAGGAGAUCUAGAUGACAUCUAUAGUCAAAACAAGUUGUAACUCGCGCUUGUAUAAUAUAUAUGCUUUCGGGUUUGGACUGUGGAUAAGAGUCUUUGCUUUUGUCGUUUUGUUAUGACGUGUAAAUUAUGUUUCUUGAAUGUGAAGAUAUAUGAAUAGUAUAAAAUAAAAUGAUUGUGUUUCUGUUGACAAAAAAAAUGAUUUUGUUUCUACUGCUUUUUAUAAAAGUUAAUGCACUUAUUAAAGAUAAUGAACUAUAAUGAUUGAGGCUUAUAAUACAAAUUUUAUACAUUUAAAGGAAUCUAGCUUUUAUAUUAGUGGGUAGUAUAAGAUAAUCAUAGUUUUAUUGUUUAUAUUAAAUUCGAUGAUAAAAGUAGAUAACACUACAAAGAAAGAUGAGUAUAAAAUAUAAGUUGCUCUCGGUGAUGUUGGGGCCAAAGAGACCAAAUCGAUUGCUUAAUAAAAUACUCGUUUCUUCCUACUUUUUUUUUCAUGUCAGCCAUAGUGUGCUUAAAAUACUUCCUCGUAAUUGUGUUCCCUCAUUAUUUGUAUGACUAUGAUUAAAACUAAGUUAACAAAGAUAAGGUCUGUAAUAACACCAGAAUUCAUUGUGUCAGAGGUUCUGUGGAACAAAAUUAUUUAUAUUAUAUGAUGUAGUUUAGGAUACGGAGAAAUUGAGAAGCUUUUAAAAAUGAUAUAAGAACAUAAUUAUAUAUGUUAUAAAGGAAAAAGAAAUUAUCAUCUCGACUUCGCGCCGCGCGGCUAACGGCGAGGCUUACGUCUGGGUCGGAAACGCCGAGACGAUGUGCCCGGGGUACUGCGCGUGGCCAUUUCACCAGCCCAUUUACGGCCCACAAGGGCCGCCGUUAGUUUCCCCUAACGGUGACGUUGGAGUCGACGGGAUGAUUAUAAACCUGGCUACGCUGCUAGCUAACACCGUCACGAAUCCGUUUAAGAACGGGUAUUACCAGGGCCCACCAACUGCUCCACUUGAAGCUGUCUCCGCUUGUACCGGCAUGUUCGGGUCUGGUUCUUACCCGGGUUACGCGGGUCUAGUGCUGGU
Molecule: long non-coding RNA, 8003 nt
Filed under: Brassica napus (rape)
Lineage: Eukaryota; Viridiplantae; Streptophyta; Magnoliopsida; Brassicales; Brassicaceae
Description: long non-coding RNA (BNAP_LNC001889)
Source: RNAcentral